RNAcentral lists this ribosomal RNA (468 nucleotides) under uncultured bacterium. RNAcentral's name for it is "partial 16S ribosomal RNA". It matches the Rfam family "Bacterial small subunit ribosomal RNA", at positions 28 to 507 of the family's 1533-position model. The record is from RNAcentral.
GACGAACGCUGGCGGCGUGCUUAACACAUGCAAGUCGAACGGAAAGGCCCUGCUUUUGUGGGGUGCUCGAGUGGCGAACGGGUGAGUAACACGUGAGUAACCUGCCCUUGACUUUGGGAUAACUUCAGGAAACUGGGGCUAAUACCGGAUAGGAGCUCCUGCUGCAUGGUGGGGGUUGGAAAGUUUCGGCGGUUGGGGAUGGACUCGCGGCUUAUCAGCUUGUUGGUGGGGUAGUGGCUUACCAAGGCUUUGACGGGUAGCCGGCCUGAGAGGGUGAACGGCCACAUUGGGACUGAGAGACGGCCCAGAAUCCUACGGGAGGCAGCAGUGGGGAAUAUUGCACAAUGGGCGGAAGCCUGAUGCAGCAACGCCGCGUGCGGGAUGACGGCCUUCGGGUUGUAAACCGCUUUCGCCUGUGACGAAGCGUGAGUGACGGUAAUGGGUAAAGAAGCACCGGCUAACUACGUG